This 285-nucleotide long non-coding RNA is filed under the name Brassica napus (rape). Its description in RNAcentral is "long non-coding RNA (BNAP_LNC017136)". Lineage: Eukaryota; Viridiplantae; Streptophyta; Magnoliopsida; Brassicales; Brassicaceae. The record is from RNAcentral.
GGGGGAGAGACCAAGAUCUGUUCUAAAGAAGAGUACAAGACAUGGUGGUGAUGUGCAAUGAAGAGAAGAACGAGUGUGCAUCACAGUUAGGCCGUGAUCCAGGGUCUUUGUGUCCAUCACACUGAUACUAAGACACAAAGACCCACUGGCCAAUCCCCAGGCCUUGAUGAACCUACUCUUUUUCCCUUACAAGGUUUUGUCCCAAAGGGUUUUCCUUGUAAGGUUUUUAAUGAGGGGAUUCUUCAAGGUUCCAAGCUUGACUUAGGAUCAACUAAAGUCAAGCUU